CUACCAUUCCUUGCAUCAUUCGUAUGUAUUUUCUUAUGCUUAUAAACUUUUUAUAAUUUCAUAAUUUUUCUCAUUCUAACUUUUUUGUCUGUUGGUUCUAAUAUAAUGGUGUCAAUUCUCUAAUGAAAUAUGUAGAUUCUAAUUUUAUUAUGUGUAGCUACCGAUAAAAGCAAAUUGUUCCAAGUCCGUGACAUUGGUGUGUGAAGUGUGAACUUUCAUCAUUCU
Molecule: long non-coding RNA, 225 nt
Filed under: Trifolium pratense (red clover)
Lineage: Eukaryota; Viridiplantae; Streptophyta; Magnoliopsida; Fabales; Fabaceae
Description: long non-coding RNA (TPRA_LNC011809)
Source: RNAcentral